AUUGAACGCUGGCGGCAGGCCUAACACAUGCAAGUCGAACGAGUGGCGGACGGGUGAGUAAUGUCUGGGAAACUGCCUGCUGGAGGGGGAUCACUAAUGGAAACGGUAGCUAAUACCGCAUACCAUCAGAUGUGCCCAGUUUGGAUUAGCUAGUUGGUGGGGUGAAGGCUCACCAAGGCGACGAUCCCUACCUGGUCUGAGAGGAUGACCAGCCACACUGGAACUGAGACACGGGCCAGACUCCUACGGGAGGCAGUAGUGGGGAAUAUUGCACAAUGGGCGCAAGCCUGAUGCAGCCAUGCCGCGUGUAUGAAGAAGGCCUUCGGGUUGUAAAGUACUUUCAGCGGGGAGGCGUUACCCGCAGAAGAAGCACCGGCUAACUCCGUGCCAGCAGCCGCGGUAAUUC
This 406-nucleotide ribosomal RNA is filed under the name uncultured bacterium. RNAcentral's name for it is "partial 16S ribosomal RNA". It matches the Rfam family "Bacterial small subunit ribosomal RNA", at positions 30 to 526 of the family's 1533-position model. The record is from RNAcentral.